This 345-nucleotide ribosomal RNA is filed under the name Triticum aestivum (bread wheat). RNAcentral's name for it is "partial small subunit ribosomal RNA". Lineage: Eukaryota; Viridiplantae; Streptophyta; Magnoliopsida; Poales; Poaceae. The record is from RNAcentral.
GUGCGCAGGGAGGUGGCGCAGAUCCAGGGCCUCUGCGCGCAGAUGGACCGCCUCUGGCGCUCCAUCCCCGCCAAGGGCCAGCGCGGCCUUAACCCCAUAAAAGUGGAGCAGCUAUCUGAAGAGGUUGAUUCAUUGAAGGAAACCCUUGACAAGCACUCGUUGCGGCAACGAAAGCGGAUUCUGGAAGCCAAGGAAAGGGCGGAGCUAUUUGAGAGAGCUAAUGGUGAGUCGUCACAUGUCCUUGAAAUAUUUGACGACGAAGCCCAGGCAAUGCAAUCGGCCCGUAGCUCCUCUCGAAUGCUUGACGAAGCCUUUGAGACAGGAGUGGCCAUCCUCCACAAGUAG